AUUUACUCACAGGUUUCGAUUAAUUCAUAAAUUGAUUUUUAUUUCCGUACGCCGAAUCCAGGCUUUAUUAUACGUUUUCCGGGAAAAUGACGUUACGCCAUCACUUCCGGUUUUUCAAACGUGCAGAACUACCUUAAGCAUUGAUGAAUACAGGCCAAUGCCUUCAUUAAGCAUUGAUGAAUAAUAGCGUAUGCAUACAUUAAGCAUUGAAGAAUACAGGCCAAUGCCCACAUUAAGCUGUGAUAAAUACAGGCCAAUGCAUACAUUAAGCAUGGAUGAAUACAGGCCAAUGCCCACAGUAAGCAUUGAUGAUUACAGGCCAGUCUUACCUUAAGUGUUGAUUAAUAUAGACCAACACCCACUGUAAACACUGAUGAAUACAGGCCAUUGUCAAUAUAAGCAUUCCCAGUAAACACCUGACGUCGUACCGACGUUGGUUAGACGUUGGAUUUUGGUCGCGACGUCGGCGACCUGAAUCCAACGUCUAACCAACGUCAUAUCCACGACGUCUAAUAGACGUCAGACUUAGACGUCUAGAAGACGUUGGCAUUAGGUUGGAUAGAAAGUCUGAUAAAUGUUUUUAGUUAUAAAACUAACUGGUAUAAUUUUGCUAGUAUAGUUUAAAGAUAUUUACUUGUUUUCAUAAAGGCCUGGACAUGCGCUUAAUUAUUAAUAAUAGUUCAUUCUCACAACAAGCAUUAUAUUAAUUAUGUUACAAUAUUGCAUGAGAGUGUCUAUUUUCGGAGACGGAUUUUUUCACGAACUUUAAACUGUUAAAGAUAAAAAUGCAUUCUAUACACAUAUAUAAAUUAUUCUAAAUUCACAUAGAUCUUCUCUUCUACACAUGUUGUCUAUAAGUCACACACUCGCGAGAUAAGCCUGCAUCGGUUUACACAGUCUUCCUGUAAUUUGAUAUUUAUUGGGUUAAGAUAGAGCAAGUUUAUAAAUACUUUACACAAAGGGAAGGAUCCACAACGUGGAAAUGUUGGCGGAGUUGAAGAAUCAUACAAAAAUGACGAAACUUGAAAGUUUCAAUUACUGCAUUACUUUUUGGACUUAUUGUAUUAGACUUACGUCGCCAUAAUAUGAAAUAAAGAUGAUAAAAUACA
Mercenaria mercenaria is the source of this 1109-nucleotide long non-coding RNA. RefSeq lists it as uncharacterized. NCBI's taxonomy places the organism in Eukaryota, Metazoa, Mollusca, Bivalvia, Venerida, Veneridae. The record is from RefSeq and is a predicted model, not a curated record. The transcript is spliced from 2 exons.